This is an unclassified non-coding RNA of Drosophila arizonae, 2205 nucleotides long. The record is from RefSeq and is a predicted model, not a curated record. Lineage: Eukaryota; Metazoa; Arthropoda; Insecta; Diptera; Drosophilidae.
CACUGUGAGAGGAGACGGUGAGAGAGGGUGAGGGAAGGACGAGAGUUGGAUUGUAGUAGGCAAUGCAUUAAUUUAAUUAAAAGCAGCGCAAGUUGCGGUAAAUUUGAAAUUUGUGUAAAUUCAACUUGUUUAGAAAACACUCGAAAGCAUUUAAUUGGCAUUUAGUUAUGCCAGCCGAGCUGCCAACCUGAUUUGUGAGUGUCUGCCUCAGUGUAUGUGUGUGUGUGUGUGUGUGUGUGUGUGUGUGGCAGGCUAAGCUAAGCCAGCUGCAGCAGCAACCCCUUGCGCAAACGACGCCACUGCACACACUGGCACAGAGGUCAGUAGCCUUAUCAGCAGCAUUUGUUAUUACACUCACCCACACAUAGUUGGUUUUGGCAAAGCUCUCUCUUUCUUUCGCUCUCUCUCCCGUUCUAUCUGUCUGUCUGCCUGCUGUUCUCUUAAUGCAAGCUCUCUUAGCUGCUGAAAUAUGCAAACGGUGGCUAAUUAAAAGCCACAGCAUCCCAAUGUUGCCUUGUUUACAUUGCCCCUCUCACAGCGAUGCUGAUGCUCUUUGGCCGUUGCCCAUUUCCCCUCGGCUUGCGCAAGCCACUCGUUGCGCUCUCUCCUGCUGCAAGUGCGACAAAAGCCGAGUCGAGUCGAAGCUUUUGGACAGCAGCUUUGUCGUGUUCGCUUGGUGGGGUUUUGGUUCGGGUCUGGGCGCUCGUGUCGUUUCGGGUCGUGUCGUGCUUUGUUGGCUCGUGUUCGCAGCAUCUUUCGAGCGAAAUUCACUCAGUUUCAUUAUUUCAGAUUCAUUUGGCUGCAGACCUCGCUCGUGUCCAGUUCUUUGGCGCGGCAAAUAGAUGGCAACAAAGGCUGUUGGCUUUAACAGUUAUACAGUUAUACAGUUAACCCAUAGACUACAAAUUGUGUUAGCAGUUACUUAUGCGUGUCAGAAGAGUAUGUGAGUGUGCCUGUGCCUGUGUAUGCGUGAGUGCCGCCGACAAGCAAUCAAUACGAGCUAGAAAGAGAGAGAGAGAGAGAGAGGGAGUUGAGUGCAAGAAAUAUGUGUGUGAGUGUGGAUGAAUAAAGGAACAGCAGAAGCGAGCAACAGCCGUCGGCAUUUUGUGCGGCCCGGUAGAGCGCUGUUUAAAGUUGACGUUGAUGUUGAUGUUGAUGACGUAUGGACAGUUGAUGUCGCCACUUUUAAAGCCGCUAACCAGCGGCCACCGAAGCAGACGGCGGAAAUUUUCAAAUGCGCUGACAGCGCCAGCCCACAACCAGAACGGCGCGGCGACAGCCAGCGACUGCAGCGGCUAACAUGCGAGAUGACUACGCAACUAUGGCCGUGCGACACGCGUUAUCAUUGGACACAUAAUUGCCCUCAAUCGGGCUAAAUGAAAAACAACUCGUUGCCGCCCCACAAAAAAACACGAAAAAAAACGACAAAAAAAAAAAAAAAUGAUAUAAUAAACUAUCAUCUAUAAGUAUCCGCACAUAACAAUUAAGCGCCCCGAGACUCUUAAUUGAAAUGCUUCCAAGGCAAACAAAUCAACAGCGCCGGAAGAGACGCCGAGUGAAGCCCCAAACAACAACAAAUUGUGGCACGCAAAUUGGAAUUUCAUUGGCGGGUAAGUUUUCGGCUUUCCAUAACUGUAUAGCUAUGAUAUAUGUCUUUAAGUGUAUCCAUAGCUCAUUCUCAUUUAGAUGGUCUAUGCUCCUUUUUGGCAUUACGCCUAUGCCACAUGGCCAUCAUUAAAGUACACGUAAUGUAUGUGUGUGUAUAUGACAUAUGGAGCCCCUACUCAUUAUGCAUACAUUUACACACACACGUAUAUAUACCCACUUAUUUGGUCGAGUAAUACCAUAAAUACAUAUGCUUAUCGCACUCCGCUACCAUGAGCUGAUAAGAAGAAUGCUACAAACACAUUUAAAUAUGUACAUAUACGCACACACACACAAAGACACACGCUUGUAUGUUUCACUCAAUUUUAUGUAGAUUAGAGAACAGUUUUAUUAGAAACUCAUUCCGAUCUAUUCAUAAGUGCUUCAUUGAGCAUUGUCUUUCAGCUAUAAGCAAAGUCCUCUAGCAAUAGAAGUAAAAGAUAGCUAAAAACCAAAUCAAAACGGUCUGUCAUAGAAGCCCUCCAAGUACCCAACCCCAACCCUGAAGCCCACAUAAAUCAUUUCCUGGAAAACGGAAUACAAUAGAAAUACAGAAAAGAA